Molecule: non-coding RNA, 78 nt
Organism: Podarcis lilfordi (Lilford's wall lizard)
Lineage: Eukaryota; Metazoa; Chordata; Lepidosauria; Squamata; Lacertidae
Source: the annotation of a GenBank genome assembly
UUCGACCUGCUCUUUGGGGCUGGCAGGGGGGGAAGCGCUGCUUUCCCCCACCGCCAGCUCCAAAGACCAAGUCGAGGA